This 1380-nucleotide ribosomal RNA is filed under the name uncultured bacterium. RNAcentral describes it as "bacterial SSU rRNA". It matches the Rfam family "Bacterial small subunit ribosomal RNA", at positions 19 to 1394 of the family's 1533-position model. The record is from RNAcentral.
CCGGCUCACGAUGAACGCUAGCUACAGGCUUAACACAUGCAAGUCGAGGGGCAGCAUGGUCUUAGCUUGCUAAGGCCGAUGGCGACCGGCGCACGGGUGAGUAACACGUAUCCAACCUGCCGUCUACUCUUGGACAGCCUUCUGAAAGGAAGAUUAAUACAAGAUGGCAUCAUGAGUCCGCAUGUUCACAUGAUUAAAGGUAUUCCGGUAGACGAUGGGGAUGCGUUCCAUUAGAUAGUAGGCGGGGUAACGGCCCACCUAGUCUUCGAUGGAUAGGGGUUCUGAGAGGAAGGUCCCCCACAUUGGAACUGAGACACGGUCCAAACUCCUACGGGAGGCAGCAGUGAGGAAUAUUGGUCAAUGGGCGAGAGCCUGAACCAGCCAAGUAGCGUGAAGGAUGACUGCCCUAUGGGUUGUAAACUUCUUUUAUAAAGGAAUAAAGUCGGGUAUGGAUACCCGUUUGCAUGUACUUUAUGAAUAAGGAUCGGCUAACUCCGUGCCAGCAGCCGCGGUAAUACGGAGGAUCCGAGCGUUAUCCGGAUUUAUUGGGUUUAAAGGGAGCGUAGAUGGAUGUUUAAGUCAGUUGUGAAAGUUUGCGGCUCAACCGUAAAAUUGCAGUUGAUACUGGAUAUCUUGAGUGCAGUUGAGGCAGGCGGAAUUCGUGGUGUAGCGGUGAAAUGCUUAGAUAUCACGAAGAACUCCGAUUGCGAAGGCAGCCUGCUAAGCUGCAACUGACAUUGAGGCUCGAAAGUGUGGGUAUCAAACAGGAUUAGAUACCCUGGUAGUCCACACGGUAAACGAUGAAUACUCGCUGUUUGCGAUAUACAGCAAGCGGCCAAGCGAAAGCGUUAAGUAUUCCACCUGGGGAGUACGCCGGCAACGGUGAAACUCAAAGGAAUUGACGGGGGCCCGCACAAGCGGAGGAACAUGUGGUUUAAUUCGAUGAUACGCGAGGAACCUUACCCGGGCUUAAAUUGCAGAUGAAUUACGGUGAAAGCCGUAAGCCGCAAGGCAUCUGUGAAGGUGCUGCAUGGUUGUCGUCAGCUCGUGCCGUGAGGUGUCGGCUUAAGUGCCAUAACGAGCGCAACCCUUGUUGUCAGUUACUAACAGGUUCCGCUGAGGACUCUGACAAGACUGCCAUCGUAAGAUGUGAGGAAGGUGGGGAUGACGUCAAAUCAGCACGGCCCUUACGUCCGGGGCUACACACGUGUUACAAUGGGGGGUACAGAGGGCCGCUACCACGCGAGUGGAUGCCAAUCCCCAAAACCUCUCUCAGUUCGGACUGGAGUCUGCAACCCGACUCCACGAAGCUGGAUUCGCUAGUAAUCGCGCAUCAGCCACGGCGCGGUGAAUACGUUCCCGGGCCUUGUACACACCGCC